ACGGAAGGCAGCAGUGGGGAAUAUUGGACAAUGGAGGCAACUCUGAUCCAGCGACGCCGCGUGAGUGAAGAAGUAUUUCGGUAUGUAAAGCUCUAUCAGCAGGGAAGAUGAUGACGGUACCUGACUAAGAAGCCCCGGCUAACUACGUGCCAGCAGCCGCGGUAAUACGUAGGGGGCAAGCGUUAUCCGGAUUUACUGGGUGUAAAGGGAGCGUAGGCGGCCAGACAAGUCAGGUGUGAAAACCCGGGGCUUAACCCCGGGACUGCACUUGAAACUGCCUGGCUGGAGUGCAGGAGAGGCAAGUGGAAUUCCUAGUGUAGCGGUGAAAUGCGUAGAUAUUAGGAAGAACACCGGUGGCGAAGGCGACUUGCUGGACCGAGACUGACGCUGAGGCUCGAAAGCGUGGGGAGCAAACAGGAUUAGAUACCCUGGUA
This 434-nucleotide ribosomal RNA is filed under the name uncultured Lachnospiraceae bacterium. RNAcentral describes it as "partial 16S ribosomal RNA". It matches the Rfam family "Bacterial small subunit ribosomal RNA", at positions 341 to 792 of the family's 1533-position model. The record is from RNAcentral. Lineage: Bacteria; Bacillati; Bacillota; Clostridia; Lachnospirales; Lachnospiraceae.